GUGAGUAGUUCAGAGUUUGAUCCUGGCUCAGGAUGAACGCUAGCGGCAGGCUUAACACAUGCAAGUCGGGGGGCAGCAUGAGACGGAGAUUCGUCAAAGUCUUGAUGGCGACCGGCGCAAGGGUGCGUAACGCGUGAGCAACUUGCCCGUUUCAGGGGGAUAACCGGUGGAAACGCCGACUAAUACCCCAUAGUAUUGCGAUAAGGCAUCUUUUUGCAAUUAAAGAAUUUCGGAAACGGAUAGGCUCGCGUGACAUUAGCUAGAUGGUGAGGUAACGGCUCACCAUGGCGACGAUGUCUAGGGGUUCUGAGAGGAAGGUCCCCCACACUGGAACUGAGACACGGUCCAG
Molecule: ribosomal RNA, 349 nt
Filed under: uncultured bacterium
Lineage: Bacteria
Description: bacterial SSU rRNA
Rfam family: Bacterial small subunit ribosomal RNA
Source: RNAcentral